Molecule: ribosomal RNA, 312 nt
Filed under: uncultured microorganism
Description: bacterial SSU rRNA
Rfam family: Bacterial small subunit ribosomal RNA
Source: RNAcentral
GAGUUUGAUCGUGGCUCAGGAUGAACGUUAGCGGCGUGCCUAACACAUGCAAGUCGAACGAACAGCCAGAAUCUUAGGAAUCUGGCGGGUUAGUGGCGCACGGGUGAGUAACACGUAGGUGACCUGCCCCGAAGUGGGGGACAACCACUGGAAACAGUGGCUAAUACCGCAUGUGCUUAGCCAUUCGGUUGGUUAAGUAAAGCUGAGGCGCUUCGGGAGGGGCCUGCGGUCGAUUAGCUAGUUGGUGAGGUAAUGGCUCACCAAGGCGAUGAUCGAUAGGGGCGUGAGAGCGUGACCCCCACCACUGGACGU